AGAGUUUGAUCAUGGCUCAGAGUGAACGCUGGCGGCGUGCUUAACACAUGCAAGUCGAACGAGAACGGAUUAUAGCUUGCUAUGAUUGUCAGCUAAGUGGCGCACGGGUGAGUAAUAUAUAGGUAACAUGCCCCAAAGAAGAGGAUAACAUCUGGAAACGGUUGCUAAUACUCUAUAUGCCUUUAAGUCAAAAGACUGCAAGGGAAAUAUUUAUAGCUUUGGGAUUGGCCUGUACGGUAUCAGCUAGUUGGUGAGGUAAUGGCUCACCAAGGCAAUGACACCUAACUGGUUUGAGAGGAUGAUCAGUCACACUGGAACUGAGACACGGUCCAGACUCCUACGGGAGGCAGCAGUGGGGAAUAUUGCACAAUGGACGAAAGUCUGAUGCAGCAACGCCGCGUGGAGGAUGACACAUUUCGGUGCGUAAACUCCUUUUAUAUAGGAAGAUAAUGACGGUACUAUAUGAAUAAGCGCCGGCUAACUCCGUGCCAGCAGCCGCGGUAAUACGGAGGGCGCAAGCGUUACUCGGAAUCACUGGGCGUAAAGAGCGUGUAGGCGGGUUAAUAAGUCUGAAGUGAAAUCCUAUAGCUCAACUAUAGAACUGCUUUUGAAACUGUUAACCUAGAAUAUGGGAGAGGUAGAUGGAAUUUCUGGUGUAGGGGUAAAAUCCGUAGAGAUCACAAAGAAUA
This 689-nucleotide ribosomal RNA is filed under the name uncultured bacterium. RNAcentral describes it as "bacterial SSU rRNA". It matches the Rfam family "Bacterial small subunit ribosomal RNA", at positions 8 to 708 of the family's 1533-position model. The record is from RNAcentral.